Molecule: long non-coding RNA, 5041 nt
Filed under: Salmo salar (Atlantic salmon)
Lineage: Eukaryota; Metazoa; Chordata; Actinopteri; Salmoniformes; Salmonidae
Description: lncRNA (ENSSSAG00000105770.1)
Source: RNAcentral
GGUGACUUUGACCUCGUCUCCGUCAGGACUGGGGAGGAGUAUUUAAGUUGGGAAUGUGUCAGUAGGGAGUCUGAAAGAGAUUAAACGUAUAGCAAAACAUACCACUGCAAAACACUUGAUCUAACGACAGCGAUUUCAUUUAGUUAAACAUGCUUAUUACAAUCACUGUAUUUUACCACCAAACAUCAACUGUCUUUGAUGGUCAGUUGUCUGUGCCAGUGUUGUCCACAUCGUCACUGACUCAAUGGGUGUAGAGAACUUCUUCUUCACCAAAAUAAAAACAACGAGACAGUGGGUCUUUCUUCACUUCCUCUUGCCACCUCAUUCUCAAAACAUUACUAGGUACGAAGGACAGUAUUGGAGGAGACAACGCUUCCAGAGAGAGGAGAAAGAGCUUCCUUAUCGAGAGGGAGGUGGGAGAACGCUGGGCUUGAGGAUACAAGGCACCAAGGAAAGAUCAAGAAAAAGCCCUUAUGUGAAUAUGAAUCAGCGUGAGUUAAAUUUGAAUAAAUGCCAUUCUGUGGGUGUUAUUAAUUUUAUGAAGUGAUAAGAGCAUAGUUCUCUGCCAAGUUAGUAGAUUUCUUCAACUAACUGAUUAAACAGGUUGUUCCAGAAAUCAAAUCGUUGUGUGAGGUCAUCCGUUGUGUAGGGUGUGUGUGUGUGUGUGUGUGUGUGUGUGUGUUUUACUAUCCUUGUGGGGUCCAGAAGUCCAGAAGUCCUCACAAGGAUAGUAAAACAAGAAAAAAAAGGCUAUUUUAGCCUUAGGGGUUAGGUUUAGUGUUACAACUGGGGUUAGGAUUAGAAUUAGGAUUAGGGUUAGGAUUAGGAUUAGGGUUGAAUUGGGAUUAGGAUUAGGGUUAGAAUUAGGUUUAGGGUUGAAUUAGGAUUAGAAUUAGGUUUAGGGUUAGAAUUAGGAUUAGGGUUAGAAUUAGGAUUAGGGUUGAAUUAGGUUUAGGGUUGAAUUAGGAUUAGGGUUAGAAUUAGGAUUAGGGUUAGAAUUAGGAUUAGGGUUAGAAUUAGGUUUAGGGUUGAAUUAGAAUUAGUAUUAGGUUUAGAAUUAGGAUUAGUUUAGGGUGAAAUGGACACUUUACAUGAGCAAAGGGAUGGAAAGGGAGUGUAUCACAUGCUUAUACCCCUCCAGCCCUUACCGCCUGGCCCUGGUCGUUUAAAAUGGGAAGCUAGCUGAUAAGGCUGUUACCGACUGUUCCGGCCCUUACCACCUGGUUCAUUCUGAAUGGGAAGCUAGCUGUUACCGACUGUUCUGGCCCUUACCACCUGGUUCAUUCUGAAUGGGAAGCUAGCUUUUACCGACUGUUCUGGCCCUUACCACCUGGUUCAUUCUGAAUGGGAAGCUAGCUGUUACCGACUGUUCUGGCCCUUACCACCUGGUUCAUUCUGAAUGGGAAGCUAGCUGUUACCGACUGUUCUGGCCCUUACCACCUGGUUCAUUCUGAAUGGGAAGCUAGCUGUUACCGACUGUUCUGGCCCUUACCACCUGGUUCAUUCUGAAUGGGAAGCUAGCUGUUACCGACUGUUCUGGCCCUUACCACCUGGUUCAUUCUGAAUGGGAAGCUAGCUGUUACCGACUGUUCUGGCCCUUACCACCUGGUUCAUUCUGAAUGGGAAGCUAACUGUUACCGACUGUUCUGGCCCUUACCACCUGGUUCAUUCUGAAUGGGAAGCUAGCUGUUACCGACUGUUCUGGCCCUUACCACCUGGUUCAUUCUGAAUGGGAAGCUAGCUGAUAAGGCUGUUACCAUACCUAAUUCCUGUCCAUUCCUUUCCAUGUCCUCAUCCCAUUCCCGGAAUGGUAAGGAAGGGUAGGGUAGGCGAGGACUCCCAUCACAAUGAGGAUGAUUCAUAGGGGUAAUUCUGCCAUACAGAACAGCUACUGACUUGGCUCCUGCUUGACUUGGUGUAAAAAUGUGACUUAACAAUACAUAUCUUUCAGGGCACGGCCCAGACCUGUCUCUCUUUCAAUCUCUCUCUUCUCUCUCUCUCUCUCUCUCUCUCUCCCUCUAGUCUCUCUCUCUCUCUGUCUCUCUCUCUGUCUCUCUCUCUGUCUCUCUCUCUGUCUCUCUCUCUGUCUCUCUCUCUGUCUCUCUCUCUCUCUCUCUCUCUCUCUCUCUCUCUCUCUCUCUCUCUCUCUCUCUUUCUUUCUCUCUCUCUCUCUCUCUCUCUCUCUCUCUCUCUCUCUCUCUGCCCCCCCUCCCUACAUGGGAAACCAGACUCCAAUAAAGCAAGUAUCUGAGAUCUCAACCACUGUAACCACCACUAUGACAAGCCUUGAUUGUAAGUGAGAAAGCUGUAGCUGUGCUUUCUGCUUCCAUGUGUUAGAGGAGACUACCACAAGUCUAGCCCAGCCCAACGAUGACUGCAUCUGAACAGGAACAGAUACACACACACACACACACACACACACACACACACACACACACACACACACACACACACACACACACACAUAUAUACACACACACACACACACACACACACACACACACACACACACACACACACACACACACACACACACACACACACAUAUAUAUACACACACAUAUAUACACACACAUAUAUACACACACAUAUAUACACACACACAUACCACACACACACACAUACCACAUACACACACACGCACACACACACACACACUUACCACACACACACACACAUACCACACACACACACAGACACACACACACACACACACACACACACACACACACGACACACACACAGACAUACACACAUACAGACACACACACACACACACACACAUACAAUGUUCAAUAACCCUAACCCUAACCUGUAUAGCCUAGCCUGUUGUUCUUAGCUUAGCACCCUGUUUAUUGCAAAGUGUGAUUUCCCAGUAAAGUUAUUUUGAAAUCUGGCAAUGCAGUAGCAUUUACGAAAUGUUAAACUAUAAUUCUUUGAAUGACAAUAUUAUAAUUUACCAAUGUUUUCGAAUAGUAAUUUUGUAAAUUGUAACGUUGAUUCACCGGAAGCAUUUGAGUGGAAAAAAAUUCUGAAUUUCACCGCUACUGUAAAAUGCUGUUUUUGGAUAUAAAUAUGAACUUGAUGGAACAAAAAAUCCAUGUAUUGUAUAACAUGACAUCCUAGGAGUGUCAACUGAGGAAGAUUGUCAAAGGUUAGUGCAUAAUUUUAGCUGGUUAUCUGCUUUUGGUGACGCCUGUCUUUGAAUUGACAAAACAUUACACACAGCUAUUUUCAAUGUACUCUCCUAACAUAACCUAACUUUAUGCUUUCGCCGUAAAGCCUCUUUGAAAUCGGACAAUGUGGUUGGAUUUAGGAGAUGUUUAUCUUUCAAAUUGUGAGAAAUAGUUGAUUGUUUGAGAAAUUGAAAUUAUUAGAUUCUUGCAGUUUCGAAUUUCCCGCCAUGGUCUCUGGACAAUAAAUCCCGAUACCGGGAUAAGAUCCCCAACAUUCAAUACCGGGAUAAGAUCCCCAACAGGUUAAUCUCAACCUCAAUCCUACUCCUAACCUUAACCUCUCCCCAAACCCCACGCCUAACCUUAACCAUUACUAUCCCAAUACCGGGAUUAGAUCCCCAACAGGUUAAACUAAAGUUUAUAAAUUCUUAGUUCCACUCAUAAGUGAAAACAUACUGUAAUCAGCAUCAUACUGUAACCAGCAUCUGACAUACUGUAAUCAGCAUCUAACAUACUGUAUUCAGCAUCAAACUGUAAUCAGCAUCUGACAUACUGUAAUCAGCAUCAUACUGUAAUCAGCAUCAUACUGUAACCAGCAUCUGACAUACUGUAAUCAGCAUCUAACAUACUGUAUUCAGCAUCAAACUGUAAUCAGCAUCUGACAUACUGUAAUCAGCAUCAUACUGUAAUCAGCAGCGUACUGUAAUCAGUAUCAUACUGUAAUCAGCAUCAUACUGUAAUCAGCAUCAUACUGUAACCAGCAUCUGACAUACUGUAAUCAGCAUCUAACAUACUGUAAUCAGCAUCAAACUGUAAUCAGCAUCAUACUGUAAUCAGCAUCAUACUGUAACCAGCAUCUGACAUACUGUAAUCAGCAUCUGACAUACUGUAAUCAGCAUCAAACUGUAACCAGCAUCUGACAUACUGUAAUCAGCAUCAUACUGUAAUCAACAUCAUACUGUAAUCAGCAUCAUACUGUAAUCAGCAUCUGACAUACUGUAAUCAGCAUCAUACUGUAACCAGCAUCUGACAUACUGUAAUCAGCAUCUGACAUACUGUAAUCAGCAUCAAACUGUAAUCAGCAGCGUACUGUAAUCAGCAUCAUACUGUAAUCAGCAUCUAAGAUACUGUAAUCAGCAUCAAACUGUAAUCAGCAGCGUACUGUAAUCAGCAUCAAACUGUAAUCAGCAUCAUACUGUAAUCAACAUCAUACUGUAAUCAGCAUCAUACUGUAAUCAGUGUCAUACUGUAAUCAACAUCAGACAUACUGUAAUCACCAUCACACUGUAAUCAGCAUCAUACUGUAAUCAGUGUCAUACUGUAAUCAACAUCUGACAUACUGUUAUUAGCAUCAUACAGUAAUCAGCAUCUGACCUACUGUAAUCAGCAUCUGACCUACUGUAAUCAGCAUCUGACCUACUGUAAUCAGCAUCUGACCUACUGUAAUCAGCAUCUGACCUACUGUAAUCAGUAUCUGACCUACUGUAAUCAGCAUCUGACCUACUGUAAUCAGCAUCAAACUGUAAUCAGCAGCGUACUGUAAUCAGCAUCAUACUGUAAUCAGCAUCUAACAUACUGUAAUCAGCAUCAAACUGUAAUCAGCAUCUAACAUACUGUAAUCAGCAUCAAACUGUAAUCAGCAGCGUACUGUAAUCAGCAUCAAACUGUAAUCAGCAUCAUACUGUAAUCAACAUCAUACUGUAAUCAGCAUCAUACUGUAAUCAGUGUCAUACUGUAAUCAACAUCUGACAUACUGUAAUCACCAUCACACUGUAAUCAGCAUCAUACUGUAAUCAGUGUCAUACUGUAAUCAACAUCUGACAUACUGUAAUCACCAUCAUACUGUAAUCAACAUCUGACAUACU